RNAcentral lists this ribosomal RNA (253 nucleotides) under uncultured bacterium. RNAcentral describes it as "partial 16S ribosomal RNA". It matches the Rfam family "Bacterial small subunit ribosomal RNA", at positions 524 to 776 of the family's 1533-position model. The record is from RNAcentral.
UACGUAGGGUGCGAGCGUUAAUCGGAAUUACUGGGCGUAAAGCGUGCGCAGGCGGUUCUCCAAGUCCGUUGUGAAAGCCCCGGGCUCAACCUGGGAAUGGCAGUGGAAACUAGGGGACUGGAAUCUGGCAGAGGGGGGUGGAAUGCCGCGUGUAGCAGUGAAAUGCGUAGAGAUGUGGAGGAACACCGAUGGCGAAGGCAGCCCCCUGGGCCAAUACUGACGCUCAUGCACGAAAGCGUGGGGAGCAAACAGG